RNAcentral lists this ribosomal RNA (743 nucleotides) under uncultured microorganism. Its description in RNAcentral is "SSU rRNA". It matches the Rfam family "Bacterial small subunit ribosomal RNA", at positions 64 to 802 of the family's 1533-position model. The record is from RNAcentral.
GAGGGGUAACAGGGGAGCUUGCUCCCGCUGACGACCGGCGCACGGGUGCGGAACGCGUAUGGAACCUACCUCAAUCAGGGGGAUAGCCCAGGGAAACUUGGAUUAAUACCCCAUAGUAUUGUUUUAUUGCAUGAUAAAACAAUUAAAACUUCGGUGGAUUGAGAUGGCCAUGCGUAUCAUUAGCUAGUUGGUAAGGUAACGGCUUACCAAGGCAACGAUGAUUAGGGGCCCUGAGAGGGGGAUCCCCCACACUGGUACUGAGACACGGACCAGACUCCUACGGGAGGCAGCAGUGAGGAAUAUCGGACAAUGGUCGCAAGACUGAUCCAGCCAUGCCGCGUGCAGGAUGACUGCCCUAUGGGUUGUAAACUGCUUUUGUACGAGAAGAACACCCUCUUCGUGAAGAGGACUGACGGUAUCGUACGAAUAAGGACCGGCUAACUCCGUGCCAGCAGCCGCGGUAAUACGGAGGGUCCGAGCGUUAUCCGGAAUCAUUGGGUUUAAAGGGUCCGUAGGCGGGCUAUUAAGUCAGAGGUGAAAUUGUGCAGCUCAACUGUAGAACUGCCUUUGAUACUGAUAGUCUUGAGUUAUGGUGAGGUAGCCGGAACAUGUGGUGUAGCGGUGAAAUGCAUAGAUAUCACAUAGAACGCCGAUUGCGAAGGCAGGUUACCAACCAUAUACUGACGCUGAUGGACGAAAGCGUGGGGAGCGAACGGGAUUAGAUACCCCGGUAGUCCACGCCG